AACGCAUAUUGCACUCUUUGGUAUUCCGAAGAGUAUGCCUGUUUGAGGGUCAUUUGAAAAUUAAUCAAGAUUAUUAGUCUUGGCUAUUAGUCUUGGAAUAAUGAGUUUUCCGUUCAUGUCAAUCUUUGAUUGGAUAGAUGGUAACUCGAAAUCAAUGCUAACGUCUUGGCUUGUAAUAGACGCGUUUAUGUUUAAAUCUUCGCAACUAAUCAAGUCUCGGUAUGGCAUGUUCAAAUUCUUUGAUAAAAGUCAAGGAAAUAUAAAACAAUUUUAUUAUCGUGACCUCAAAUCAGGUAGGAUUACCCGCUGAACUUAA
Molecule: unclassified non-coding RNA, 316 nt
Filed under: uncultured Archaeospora
Lineage: Eukaryota; Fungi; Glomeromycota; Glomeromycetes; Archaeosporales; Archaeosporaceae
Description: sequence contains ITS2
Rfam family: 5.8S ribosomal RNA (bases 1-52)
Source: RNAcentral